Molecule: ribosomal RNA, 303 nt
Filed under: uncultured bacterium
Lineage: Bacteria
Description: bacterial SSU rRNA
Rfam family: Bacterial small subunit ribosomal RNA
Source: RNAcentral
GAUGAACGCUGGCGGCGUGCCUAAUACAUGCAGUCGAACGCGAGCACUUGUGCUCGAGUGGCGAACGGGUGAGUAAUACAUAAGUAACCUGCCCUAGACAGGGGGAUAACUAUUGGAAACGAUAGCUAAGACCGCAUAGGUACGGACACUGCAUGGUGACCGUAUUAAAAGUGCCUCAAAGCACUGGUAGAGGAUGGACUUAUGGCGCAUUAGCUGGUUGGCGGGGUAACGGCCCACCAAGGCGACGAUGCGUAGCCGACCUGAGAGGGUGACCGGCCACACUGGGACUGAGACACGGCCCAG